ACCCGCACAAGCGGUGGAUGAUGUGGAUUAAUUCGAUGCAACGCGAAGAGCCUUACCUACCCUUGACAUGUCCGGAACUUGCCAGAGAUGGCUUGGUGCCCGAAAGGGAACCGGAACACAGGUGCUGCAUGGCUGUCGUCAGCUCGUGUCGUGAGAUGUUGGGUUAAGUCCCGCAACGAGCGCAACCCUUGUCCUUAGUUGCUACGCAAGAGCACUCUAAGGAGACUGCCGGUGACAAACCGGAGGAAGUGGGGAUGACGUCAAGUCCUCAUGGCCCUUAUGGGUAGGGCUUCACACGUCAUACAAUGGUCGGUACAGAGGGUUGCCAAGCCGCGAGGUGGAGCCAAUCCCACAAAGCCGAUCGUAGUCCGGAUUGUUCUCUGCAACUCGAGAGCAUGAAGUCGGAAUCGCUAGUAAUCGCAGGUCAGCAUACUGCGGUGAAUACGUUCCCGGGUCUU
This 458-nucleotide ribosomal RNA is filed under the name uncultured Thiobacillus sp. RNAcentral's name for it is "bacterial SSU rRNA". It matches the Rfam family "Bacterial small subunit ribosomal RNA", at positions 919 to 1382 of the family's 1533-position model. The record is from RNAcentral. Lineage: Bacteria; Pseudomonadati; Pseudomonadota; Betaproteobacteria; Nitrosomonadales; Thiobacillaceae.